RNAcentral lists this ribosomal RNA (547 nucleotides) under uncultured bacterium. RNAcentral describes it as "bacterial SSU rRNA". It matches the Rfam family "Bacterial small subunit ribosomal RNA", at positions 355 to 896 of the family's 1533-position model. The record is from RNAcentral.
UGGGGAAUAUUGCGCAAUGGGGGGAACCCUGACGCAGCCAUGCCGCGUGAAUGAAGAAGGCCUUAGGGUUGUAAAGUUCUUUCGGUAUUGAGGAAGGUUGAUGUGUUAAUAGCACAUCAAAUUGACGUUAAAUACAGAAGAAGCACCGGCUAACUCCGUGCCAGCAGCCGCGGUAAUACGGAGGGUGCGAGCGUUAAUCGGAAUAACUGGGCGUAAAGGGCACGCAGGCGGUUAUUUAAGUGAGGUGUGAAAGCCCCGGGCUUAACCUGGGAAUUGCAUUUCAGACUGGGUAACUAGAGUACUUUAGGGAGGGGUAGAAUUCCACGUGUAGCGGUGAAAUGCGUAGAGAUGUGGAGGAAUACCGAAGGCGAAGGCAGCCCCUUGGGAAUGUACUGACGCUCAUGUGCGAAAGCGUGGGGAGCAAACAGGAUUAGAUACCCUGGUAGUCCACGCUGUAAACGCUGUCGAUUUGGGGGUUGGGGUUUAACUCUGGCGCCCGUAGCUAACGUGAUAAGUCGACCGCCUGGGGAGUACGGCCGCAAGGUUA